CCCAUCUGUGCUACUAUAACCACAUGGUCCAUCCCUUGCUUCAAUCAUAGAAUUCUUUCUUCAGAUCAAAGUAUAUUCAGACACCCGAUACAGUAACAAAAGCAAGCUAUCCUGGAAGGAAGAAGGAAUCAGGAGGCAGAGCACAUGGUUAAAGCAUGAGAUGUGAAACCAGGAAGAACCAGGUCUGAAUCUUAGCUCCACCAGUGGUAGCUCCAAACCUUAGUCCUUUCUGAGCCUGCUUCUUCAACCCUAAGGUGUGAUUACAUUGAGCAGUAACAGCAAAACCUGAAAGAGAAUGGAUACAGGUGUUCAUUUCAGAUGGUACAAGUUUAACAAGGUACAAGAGCAACUUAAGGUUUGACAUAAAACCUCUAAGCAUAUAUUUAAAUCCUAGUGUUUCAUCCAGAAAACACCACAGCAUAACUGAGAGCACUGGAGGCAGAAAUAAUUUAGUUUAGAUCCAUGGAUUGCUUGCUAUUUACUGUGUGACUCUGGGUAGCCAUUUACUUUAAACCUAUUUUUCCCACUUAUAGAAAGGUAAUGAUGACCACUUGUUGGAAAACUUGAGGGUAAUAUUUGUAAAGGUCAUAGUAAUACCCAACAACUCGGACCCAACACCUGGUAGGCACAAAGUCAGUUCUGCUUCCUUUCCCUUUCUGUAGAGAAAUGUACAGGAUAUUCCUUAUAUGCCACUUAUGCUAUGGGAUUGACAUAGGUUUUGUCCCUUAUGCUAUGGGAUUGACUAGGUUUU
This 751-nucleotide non-coding RNA is filed under the name Pongo abelii (Sumatran orangutan). The record is from RNAcentral. Lineage: Eukaryota; Metazoa; Chordata; Mammalia; Primates; Hominidae.